ACGUAGGUGGCAAGCGUUGUCCGGAAUUACUGGGUGUAAAGGGAGGGCAGGCGGGGAGACAAGUUGGUUGUGAAAACUACGGGCUUAACCCAUAGAUUGCAGUCGAAACUGAUUAUCUUGAGUAGAGCAGAGGUUGGCGGAAUUCCGAGUGGAGUGGUGAAAUGCGUAGAGAUUCGGAGGAACACCAGAGGCGAAGGCGGCGUACUGGGCUCUAACUGACGCUGAGCCGCGAAAGUCUGGGAAGCGAACGG
RNAcentral lists this ribosomal RNA (251 nucleotides) under uncultured prokaryote. RNAcentral's name for it is "partial 16S rRNA". It matches the Rfam family "Bacterial small subunit ribosomal RNA", at positions 525 to 775 of the family's 1533-position model. The record is from RNAcentral.